GACAGAGGUGGGCCUGUGUCCCACAUAGAAAAUAAAGUUAUGUCAUAGGUAGACAAGGAUGGAUACUGAAGGAGGCAGGUCAAUUCCAAACAUUGACCAAUAUCCUUGUUGGCUACCUGAGACGUGAUAUUCUGUCACUAAAGAUUCAGCUGCCAAAGGAGCCAGACAUAGGUUCCUGCCUUUGUUCUUGCCCAGUUCACACCCAGGCUGGCAGACCCUCCCUUACUCUUGGUUAAUGUGCAUAUGCAGAACCCAGUGAUCAAGACAAAUUCUACCCAAUGAUGGCAUUGCUCAUUACCUCCACCCCAGGAAGCUCUUCCUGCCAUUAAUACAGCACUGAUGUGUGCUGUUUCUUUAAUCCUGGACCACAAAGAGCAGACAGUGUAUCCAGAUGUGGACUUUGAACAAUUGCUGCAGCCCAACCCCACUGACCACACAGGAUCUGCUCUUCGUUGCCACCUUAGGUCUGGGGUGGAGCCCUGCCAAGGAUGA
Molecule: non-coding RNA, 492 nt
Organism: Macaca mulatta (Rhesus monkey)
Lineage: Eukaryota; Metazoa; Chordata; Mammalia; Primates; Cercopithecidae
Source: RefSeq, a predicted model, not a curated record